UGAGGAAUCUUGCACAAUGGGCGAAAGCCUGAUGCAGCAAUACCGCGUGGGUGAAGAAGGUUUUCGGAUCGUAAAGCCCUUUUCUUCGUGACGAGAACGGACGGUAGCGAAGGAAGAAGUCUCGGCUAACUACGUGCCAGCAGCCGCGGUAAAACGUAGGAGGCAAGCGUUAUCCGGAGUUACUGGGCGUAAAGCGCGCGCAGGCGGAUAUUUAAGUUUCUGAUGAAAGCUCCUGGCUAAACUGGGAGAGGAUCGGGAAAACUGGGUAUCUAGAGAGCGAGAGAGGAAAGCAGAAUUCCGCGUGUAGUGGUGAAAUGCGUAGAGAUGCGGAGGAAUACCAGUGGCGAAGGCGGCUUUCUGGCUCGCAACUGACGCUGAGGCGCGAAAGCAUGGGUAGCGAACGGGAUUAGAUACCCCCGUAGUCC
This 425-nucleotide ribosomal RNA is filed under the name uncultured prokaryote. RNAcentral's name for it is "bacterial SSU rRNA". It matches the Rfam family "Bacterial small subunit ribosomal RNA", at positions 355 to 796 of the family's 1533-position model. The record is from RNAcentral.